AUGCCCAGGAAUGGACCAAAAAUGACUGCUGGUGUGGGAGCUUCCAGAACUGAAGUCCUCGCUCUUCCUCCCUCCUUACCCACACGGCUGGGUUGUGCUGAGCUCCUCCAGCCCCGCGGGCAGCCUGGGCACGGGGGUGCCAGCCGGCAGGCCCCGAUGAAAUGCCAUUUCACGUGGCAGCUCAGCUCGUGGUCAAAAGCGUUUCUUUAACCAGUCAUUGCAAUGCAUGAAAUACAUACACACUGCAUGUUCUAGUGUGUGCAUUUUGCCUUGGGGCAGCACGAUUGAUCUGGCUAUCUGGGCCCACCUCCC
Molecule: long non-coding RNA, 312 nt
Filed under: Anser brachyrhynchus (Pink-footed goose)
Lineage: Eukaryota; Metazoa; Chordata; Aves; Anseriformes; Anatidae
Description: lncRNA (ENSABRG00000005798.1)
Source: RNAcentral